This is a non-coding RNA of Cinara cedri, 774 nucleotides long. The record is from the annotation of a GenBank genome assembly. NCBI's taxonomy places the organism in Eukaryota, Metazoa, Arthropoda, Insecta, Hemiptera, Aphididae.
GGUCAGUCCCCUACGUAUUAUUCUUGUUAAUAUCAUAUGGUAAAUAAUACACAAUAUUGGUAUCAAAUAUAGAAUUGACGAAGUAAUUUAUAGACACCCUGUAUGUUAAAAGGGUUCUAUUUUUCCAAAUUCUGUAUUGCACUUACUAAAUUUAAAAACAUUAUUUUUGACUUGUCGGAUAUAAUAAUUAUGAGCGACUGAGCAAGAUAAACUUAACUGCAACUCGAAUGAUAUAAAUUUAACAAAAUUUCCUUUGCACGAAUUCGUUUUAAUGUUUUUAAAUUAUGAAUUCUAAAAAGUGUGUCAGUAUUUGUUCUACAAGGUUUAUUAUAUGCAAUUCUUAACGAGUAUUUACAGAUGUUAAUAACAAUUUUAAGCGUACUUCAUAGGCACCACUUCAUGCGUAUAUUCCAUAAGAAUACACAGACUGUGUUAGGGCACAUAAAACCAUCCGCAUUGAGUUUGGUAGUGAAACACUGUUAAUUAUUUUGAACUUACUGUACAUAUACCUAAUUUUUUUAACUUCUAAAUCGAUGUGCAUAUUCCAUUCUAGGAAACUAUUAAUAAUUAUUCCUAGGUAUUUAACAGAGUUUUCGGACUUUAUGGAGGUAGAGUUACAGGUAGUUUAUAACUUUAUAGUCUAAAUUGUUUUAGUCAUGUUUUUAAUGCAUUUAUUAACACUUAACAUAUUGGCUUUAGAAAUAGAAAAGGAAUACAAGUUGUUUUGCUUAAAUUUGUUUCAAUAUAAUUUGCGAUAAACCAUAAACCAACUGA